RNAcentral lists this ribosomal RNA (399 nucleotides) under uncultured Gemmatimonadota bacterium. RNAcentral's name for it is "bacterial SSU rRNA". It matches the Rfam family "Bacterial small subunit ribosomal RNA", at positions 9 to 419 of the family's 1533-position model. Lineage: Bacteria; Pseudomonadati; Gemmatimonadota. The record is from RNAcentral.
GAGUUUGAUCUUGGCUCAGGACGAACGCUGGCGGCGUGCUUAACACAUGCAAGUCACGGGGGCCCGCAAGGGCAACCGGCGAACGGGUGCGUAACACGUGAGCAACCUGCCUUGAUGUGGGGGAUAGCCGGCCCAACGGCCGGGUAAUACCGCAUACGUUCACGGAGAGGAGUCUCUCUGUGAGGAAACCUCCGGGGCAUCAAGAGGGGCUCGCGGCCUAUCAGCUAGUUGGCGGGGUAAUGGCCCACCAAGGCGACGACGGGUAGCUGGUCUGAGAGGAUGGCCAGCCACAUUGGGACUGAGAGACGGCCCAGACUCCUACGGGAGGCAGCAGUGGGGAAUCUUGCGCAAUGGCCGAAAGGCUGACGCAGCGACGCCGCGUGUGGGAGGACGCCCUUC